CCCCCCCCCCCCCCCCCCCCCCCCCCCCCCCCCCCCCCCCCCCCCCCCCCCCCCCCCCCCCCCCCCCCCCCACUGGCUGGCCCGGCCGGCGCUGCCCGCCGCCAGCCCCAGCGCUGAAGGUGAGCCUGGCCCUGCCCCAUCCCCCUUCCCCGCCCGGUGCCCGCAGGGUGAGGAGGGGCUGGCUGGGGGUGCUGUCCCCUGGGUGAGGAGGGGCUGGCUCGGGGUGCUGUCCCCUGGGUGAGGAGGGGCUGGCUCGGGGUGCUGUCCCCUGGGGGUGACAGGCUGUGCUCGGUCCCGCAGGUGCGUGCCGGCCGUGCAAUGACACCGAGAUCCUGAUGGCCAUUUGCACUAGUGACUUUGUGAUCCGCGGCAGCAUCCGCAGCGUCUCCAACGACGCCGAGCUGCAGGAAUCCAUCAUCGGGGUGAGCGCCACCCGCAUCCACCGGCAGAAAUUCCCGCUCUUCCGGGCGGGCGGAGAUCGGAAGAGCGGGUCAGCAGGAAUGCCCCCC
Molecule: long non-coding RNA, 509 nt
Organism: Ficedula albicollis (Collared flycatcher)
Lineage: Eukaryota; Metazoa; Chordata; Aves; Passeriformes; Muscicapidae
Source: Ensembl